GAUGAAGAACGCAGCGAAAUGCGAUACGUAAUGUGAAUUGCAGAAUUCAGUGAAUCAUCGAAUCUUUGAACGCACAUUGCGCCUGCCAGCACUCUGGCAGGCAUGCCUGUUCGAGCGUCAUUUCAACCAUCAAGCCCUAGGCUUGCGUUGGAGCCCUGCGGCUGCCGCAGGCCCCUAAAAGCAGUGGCGGGCUCGCUAUCACACCGCGUGCAGUAGAUUACUCUUCGCUCAGGGCGUGUGGCGGGUUCCAGCCGUGAAACCCCCUACUUCUCAAGGUUGACCUCGGAUCAGGUAGGAAUACCCGCUGAACUUAAGCAUAUCAAUAAGCGGAGGA
RNAcentral lists this unclassified non-coding RNA (334 nucleotides) under soil metagenome. Its description in RNAcentral is "partial contains 5.8S ribosomal RNA, internal transcribed spacer 2, and large subunit ribosomal RNA". The stretch from base 1 to 120 matches the Rfam family "5.8S ribosomal RNA", at positions 35 to 154 of the family's 154-position model. The record is from RNAcentral.